This 1323-nucleotide long non-coding RNA is filed under the name Coffea arabica (coffee). RNAcentral describes it as "long non-coding RNA (CARA_LNC002487)". Lineage: Eukaryota; Viridiplantae; Streptophyta; Magnoliopsida; Gentianales; Rubiaceae. The record is from RNAcentral.
CAUUCCUUGUUGGCAUUAGUAGUUUUUAAUCGAGUUUUUGAGGACAUUCUGGAUGUUGGUUUAUAUUGCUGAUUUGGAGGAGCAGUGUCUGUGAUUUUGGUCUGAUCAUUUGUGCAAUUUGUUGACUCAUUUGAGGACUUAUUUGUUUCCUGGGUUUGUUUAUUGACUUCGGUGGACUGGGUUCCCACCUACGGUUCCUCUACUUGCUCUAUUCAUUGGAAUUCCAGUCGCCUGUUGCUCUUCUUUAGAGGUUUAGAAUCUUUCUUGUGACUAGAUUAACACUUGGGGUUAUUGCUUUACUACUGAUCUGCUUUGCUAUAGCAAUCUCAUUGAUUUUGAAUUGCGAUUUGCACCAAUGGUAAGGGUGCGAGUACUUGUUAACUCUAUUUGGUUAGAGAUCUGAUUGACCGCCAAGGGCUUGCGACUGCGCUGCUAUUACUAAAGUUCUGAACUGAUAUUGCUGGAUUUAGCACAUUAUUGGAGACGUUGUUGAGAUUUUGGGUGGACAGAGCUUUGCAUUUGCUGGUUGACUUGAUGUCUCACCACAUCGGUGCCCCUCCGCUGUUCCCGCCGACCCCUUAGCCACUCGAGAGGGAAGUUUCGUUGUCCUUUUCACUUUAAUUGUUUUAUUUCCUCCAUUGAGGACAAUGUAGGAUCUAGGUGUGGGGGGGCAGCUGCGCUAGUUUUUCUGUUUUUUAGUUUUUUUAGAUGUUUUUGCUUUCUUUUUAAUUUGCUAUUUGUCCACCUCUCGUUCAAUUUCUUUCUUUCUUUCUAGUGACUGGCUCGUAAGUGCAUGCCAAGGUUUGAUGUUGGAUUAUUGCCUCUAUUUCUACUUUUGCCAAGUUUUUAUAAUAAAAAUGUAUCGAGUUAAUGUGGCUGAAUCCAAAAACAUCUCUUUGGUGAAUAUCGAUGAUUGUUUCACUCUUAUAAUUUUUGGUUAACUUUCCUAGGCAUAGGGAAUGAUUAUUGGCAUUUUUAUGUGAAUUGGUUCGGUUAUUAACUUUAGUUCUCCAUGUUUGAAAAUGAGUCUAGCUGAUGCAAGUUUUCUUUUGGUUCUUGUGUUAUAUUGAGUUUUUGUGAUUUUUAGCUAUGAAUAAACUUGACUGUACUCCGCUAGUCUUUACUACUGAGUAACCGGGGAUCUGCACCUAAAAGUGUUGAUUCUCGCAUCAAAAGGUAGUAAUUCCUAUGAGUACGUGGUCACGUGGCGAUAGAAGCUGAGUAACCGGGAUCCUUCAUCUGGCCAAUGUUGGAGUUCGCGUCAAAAGGCUCUAAUGGCUAGCGACUAAGUCUUUUGUUACUAUUGAGAAAAGAAAAAAAAAA